GGGGAAACAGCGAUAUAUUGGUAAAUUGUAUAAGAAAAUUGACCUAUCUUGCAUCCUUCUUAACAAUUAUGUCUCUUGAUGCUUAUCCAACUAAUUCAGCACUAGAUAAGACUAACUGAUCCUAAAAUUCUAUAGAAACACAUGCCAGCAAACAAAGGUAUCCAACGUAUUUUGGUCUAAGGCAUAAAUAACUUAGGUCAUUCAUCCACUCAGAUUAUGAAGUUAGUUUAGUUAAUGGAAAAUUUGAGAAAUAGUCAGACUCAAGGGUGUAUAUUUCUCUAUCUUUUGGACCAAUACAGUCAAAAAGAAAAAGACGAUGCACUUUGGAAAUAUGAAGGAUACGAUGUCUCUGAUAUUGACCUUGGCAGUGUUGGUGAUAUAUAAUUAAAUUUGCCUUCAACCACUAGCUUAAGCUUUUAGGUGAAUUGGUGGUUUAAUAUGGUAUCAGUGCAGGUGGUCCAAGGAGGUCCUAUGUUCAAGCCCCUACAUUGUCGUUUCCUCUCUAAUUAAAAUCAAUUUCCACUUGUUGGACCUUUCAAAUAUUUCAAACCAAAAAAGUGAGGUAAAAUUGAUUCCACUUGUUGGACCUUUCAAAUAUUUCAAGUUCACAAGUGAGGGGGAGUGUUGGUGAUAUAUAAUUAAAUUAGUCUUCAAACACUAGCUUAAGCUUUUGGAUGAAUUGGUGGUUUAAUAAGCAGUAUCGAUGUAAUGGAUUAAUCCAUUGAGUCGUGAAGGAUGAAUUAGUGCACUUCUCAAAAUUCGUUUUUGGACGUGUUUUCUUAGCUUGGUGGGAAUAGUUUGGUUGCUUUGGCUUGUUGAUCGGUUGAAUAACACUUGAGUAUUUUGUUAAAAGAUAUAUACAAAUGAAUUUGUUCGAGUAAUAUUUAGAGUUUUCCGAUUUUUUGUAAUUUGGUUUGUAAUUUGUCUUUGAAACCGAAGCCCAUAGAGAGGCAUGGAAUCUCACCAAGGACCGAACCUCAAAAGGAUUUGCACCUCUAAACACUAUAGGUUGUCUGGGGGCCUGCAAUAGAAUAAGUUUGUAGUGGAAUGGAAUCAAAAGCUCAAGUUUGGAUUGACUGUUUUGAGCUUGAUUUGUAAUACCAAACUCAUUCUAUGCUCACAGUUUUCAACCUAACCCAUUUUCACACUCCACAAUCCAAUUUCUGUUCUACCCUCGAUUCCUCACUCAUUCCAAC
Molecule: long non-coding RNA, 1196 nt
Filed under: Cucumis sativus (cucumber)
Lineage: Eukaryota; Viridiplantae; Streptophyta; Magnoliopsida; Cucurbitales; Cucurbitaceae
Description: long non-coding RNA (CSAT_LNC000856)
Source: RNAcentral